RNAcentral lists this ribosomal RNA (1309 nucleotides) under Salmonella enterica subsp. houtenae. RNAcentral's name for it is "partial 23S ribosomal RNA". It matches the Rfam family "Bacterial large subunit ribosomal RNA", at positions 567 to 1733 of the family's 2925-position model. The record is from RNAcentral. Lineage: Bacteria; Pseudomonadati; Pseudomonadota; Gammaproteobacteria; Enterobacterales; Enterobacteriaceae.
AUGCGUAACGACAGCACGAUUACGAUUAACGGAGCGUAAGCGACGUUCAACACAAAAAUCAGGCAGUGGAGCGUUUUGGGGUGGGGUGACUGCGUACCUUUUGUAUAAUGGGUCAGCGACUUAUAUUCUGUAGCAAGGUUAACCGCAUAGGGGAGCCGGAGGGAAACCGAGUCUUAAUUGGGCGUUAAGUUGCAGGGUAUAGACCCGAAACCCGGUGAUCUAGCCAUGGGCAGGUUGAAGGUUGGGUAACACUAACUGGAGGACCGAACCGACUAAUGUUGAAAAAUUAGCGGAUGACCUGUGGCUGGGGGUGAAAGGCCAAUCAAACCGGGAGAUAGCUGGUUCUCCCCGAAAGCUAUUUAGGUAGCGCCUCGUGAAUUCAUCUCCGGGGGUAGAGCACUGUUUCGGCCAGGGGGCCAUCCCGGCUUACCAAUCCGAUGCAAACUGCGAAUACCGGAGAAUGUUAUCACGGGAGACACACGGCGGGUGCUAACGUCCGUCGUGAAGAGGGAAACAACCCAGACCGCCAGCUAAGGUCCCAAAGUCAUGGUUAAGUGGGAAACGAUGUGGGAAGGCCCAGACAGCCAGGAUGUUGGCUUAGAAGCAGCCAUCAUUUAAAGAAAGCGUAAUAGCUCACUGGUCGAGUCGGCCUGCGCGGAAGAUGUAACGGGGCUAAACCAUGCACCGAAGCUGCGGCAGCGAACGUAUCACCCAAGACAACUUUGCACAGUUGACGAUUGACGGAGCGAAGCGACGUCAAAGCGUUUUACAACGUCGAGUUGGCUUAGGGAUACGUUCGUUGGGUAGGGGAGCGUUCUGUAAGCCGUUGAAGGUGGCCUGUGAGGGUUGCUGGAGGUAUCAGAAGUGCGAAUGCUGACAUAAGUAACGAUAAAGCGGGUGAAAAGCCCGCUCGCCGGAAGACCAAGGGUUCCUGUCCAACGUUAAUCGGGGCAGGGUGAGUCGACCCCUAAGGCGAGGCCGAAAGGCGUAGUCGAUGGGAAACGGGUUAAUAUUCCCGUACUUGGUGUUACUGCGAAGGGGGGACGGAGAAGGCUAUGUUGGCCGGGCGACGGUUGUCCCGGUUUAAGCGUGUAGGUGUGUGUUCCAGGUAAAUCCGGUUCACUUUAACACUGAGGCGUGACGACGAGGCACUACGGUGCUGAAGCAACAAAUGCCCUGCUUCCAGGAAAAGCCUCUAAGCCUCAGGUAACAUCAAAUCGUACCCCAAACCGACACAGGUGGUCAGGUAGAGAAUACCAAGGCGCUUGAGAGAACUCGGGUGAAGGAACUAGGCAAAAUGGUGCCGUAA